Molecule: long non-coding RNA, 1083 nt
Filed under: Daucus carota (carrot)
Lineage: Eukaryota; Viridiplantae; Streptophyta; Magnoliopsida; Apiales; Apiaceae
Description: long non-coding RNA (DCAR_LNC007315)
Source: RNAcentral
AGGCCUUUGCCAUAAUUAAGCCUUUGUCUAACCUCCCAGAGCAAACAACUCUGGAUCCUUAAUUGGAUAAGCCACUUAGUGGUUGGCAACUUGUGGACCAUGAUUCGGAUUUAUCUGAUGAGUCUACAGGGACUGGGAAUUACGAACUCCCAUUGCACCACCGGUGACCCCCUUUAAGGGUGGCUAAGGUGAUUUUCUUGCAGGUACUCAGCAUUUUGGAAGCUCGGUAUUUGUGUGGAGAGAUACACUUACAGAACUCGUGAGUGACACCCUUACCCAAAUACCGAGAGAAAAUUGAGUGUUGAGUGAUACACCUGCAGAACAUUUUAGUGAGACACCUACUAAUUACCAAAUUUAUACCUAAAGACAAAGUGGAUGUUGUUACUGGAAUGUCAGUUUUACUCAUUACUUUUCCGUUUGGAACAUAUUCUUUCAGCAUAGGGACCAACCCAAUCAAAGUAAACCCUUCUUCUGAACUCUUUCUUCGACCCCAGCUUUAGCGUUGUUUAGUUCUCUAUGGGGAGAUUAUCUUUUGGUACAGGAAGUAUUGUACACAUUCCUUGACCUAUUUGAUACCACAUAUCCUUGGAGGAUUCCACAACUAAGGGGGAUAAUAAAUUUAGGGGGAGAAUUUAUAAAAGGGGGAAGAAAAAGUAAGUUAGCUUUCUUUAGCUGUCUACAACUAAGGGGGAUUAAACUACUCUUUAGCUGUGUACUACUGAGGGGGAGAUUCUUCUUCAACUACGGAGGAGGAUUGAUCUUUCAUCUAAGGGGAGAUAGCUACUUAUCACCAAGGGGAACCUGAUCAAGGUAACGGGAGGAGAAGUAUAAGGUGAUACAUUUAUUCUUCAGUAAGUGGUAGAAAGGAACUUAUUCAUUACCACUGAAGAAUUCAAUGAAGCUGCUGAUUGUUCUUUGCAUAAUGGAGUGUUUUGAAUUCUCUUCAAGACAGACUAUGAGGAUUAUCUGGCAGGUAAGCAAGAACCAGAGAAAUAAAAGUGAUAUGCACAUUUGUUAUUUCUAUUCAUGAAAUCUGGAAAUGUACUAUAUGAUCCAGAAACUUUGUAGCAUUAUUUACUAGUC